UGCUCGAACCAGAGAGAGGCCCCUUCUGCGUGUGUUGAGCAACGGGACGUCCUUUCGAUGCUUCCAUUAGUCACAAGCUGUCGUCGGCGGGAACACUCAGACACGAAGCGUUCGACCCGUUGUGGAACGGUACCUCGGGCUUCGGAAGAGCAAUUACUGAAUGCCCACAAUCUCCCCCUACUGUACAUCUCUUGAAACGUUCCCAGGCUGCAGGGUCCCCGGGAGGCGAGGUUUAUCUGGACGGGAAAACGUUUUCAAUCUCCACAUAAUGUUCCACUUGGGCACCUUUCGAAGCAACUCUGAAGGUUCUCGGGUCUUGUGACAAGCCGUCAAGGGUCUCCUCUGGGUAUCCUGGAUCAUCUCUGGCCGCAUCAUAAUCAAAUCUUCACUUAGAUUG
This is a long non-coding RNA of Ornithodoros turicata, 397 nucleotides long. RefSeq lists it as uncharacterized. The transcript has 3 exons. The record is from RefSeq and is a predicted model, not a curated record. NCBI's taxonomy places the organism in Eukaryota, Metazoa, Arthropoda, Arachnida, Ixodida, Argasidae.